UAUCAGCUAUCUUUUGCUUGGAAUUGUUUGAUAAUAUACAGUCUCUAAAGAAGGAGAACAGUGCCUGGGGUCUUCUUGGCUCACGUGGUUACUAGAUCUUUGGAGAAGUUGAUGGGAUUUCAAGUAUGUGCUGUUUUUCUCUAUGGGAUUCCAAUAACACAUCCAUAUAGGGAGUCCCCGUGGAGCAAGGAGAUAGAGAAAGGAGUUAGAAAGUAGAAUACCAGCAUGGGAAAUAAAUUAGUCUGUAUGUUGCUUAAGGUACAUGUUGACUAAGGUCUCUACAUAGUGAUUCAAAAUGAGUGAUUGGAAAUCUGGCUAGAAAUGAACAUUAGCAUUUCAGUAGGUUAACUUUCGCCUUGGUUGCUGUCUCAAUGUCACUUGAUUGAUGUGAGUUGCAGGAGGGAUCACGGUGGUGGAAGAGUGUUCCGGCGUCGCAGCUGGAUUUUUCGAGAUGGUUCCACAUUUACUUUUGUGGUGAUGCCCUGGACAAAUCACACGAUAGAUCAGAACUGCAGUUCUCUCAGUUAUAAACAGAAAUAAAAAAACGUGAUGUCCAGUCUCACUGGGUUGUUAUAUCAGAGGCUCCUGGGGACAAUACUAUGUUAGUUGAAUGUUGGUUCAGAAUAAUUUUGUUCAUGAUAAAAGUUUUGAAAAGUGGAAUCAGGACAUGGGAGGUGGUUGUGACACAGAAAUGACAUGAGCUCUGAAGACAGAUUAAAAUCUCGGCCCCCUGAGAGGAUAUUAUGAGAAUAAGGAAAACAGAUGCAAAGAGCUUGUGAUUGGC
This 784-nucleotide long non-coding RNA is filed under the name Marmota monax (woodchuck). Lineage: Eukaryota; Metazoa; Chordata; Mammalia; Rodentia; Sciuridae. The record is from RNAcentral.